UUCUGUUUCCCCUUUUGUUCUACUCUAGGACACCGUCACCUUUCCACCCAAAAAAAGUUACCAGAUUCCGACAACCAAGAAGCAAUAAAUUUGGGUGGAAUUAUUUUUUCUUUGCAUUAGAGUGCAUACGAUCUCCUCUUCAAAUUCCAGGUGGACAAUGUUACCUCUUUCUUGAGGAAUACAAUUGGCUUGGGACUCUCUAUAAUGCAAACUUUAACGUUUCCUCAAGUACUUGAUAAACAUGAUCAUAAAUGUGACAUACGGAGUGGAAAUAACGAUAUAAGUAAAGAAGAGUUAACGUGUGUCUGAUAAAUUUAGUUAGCUUUUUAUUCUUAGAUGUAACUGUUGGAUCCAAUAAGUCAGAUUUUAUUUUGACAACACGAAAUAAGUGAGAAAAAACCUUCAAACUUAUUUAUAUUUUAAUGGGGAAUCCUCCAAUGCAGACAUUGGUAGACUGCAAUACUCAAUCAAUUUAAACAAGCAUUGAAGGUAUAGUAUUCUAUGUUGGUCUUUGAGUUCCAAUGAAUCCAGCAAGGUGUAAGAAAGGUACCUCUUUCCAGGGAAAGACAAUUGGUUUGGCUCUCUCUAUAUUAUUUCUAACUUUGAGGUUACCUCAAGUAUUUGAUAAAUUUAAUAAGAUUAUUUAUAUACUCUCUUUUAAUCAUUAUUAUAAUUAAUCUAAUAUGUACAUUUUGUUUACGCUUAUGUAGCCUCUAUACUUUUGGCAGUGUAUGUAAAAGUGAAGAAGAAACUUUCUUUUCUUA
Molecule: long non-coding RNA, 764 nt
Organism: Solanum pennellii
Lineage: Eukaryota; Viridiplantae; Streptophyta; Magnoliopsida; Solanales; Solanaceae
Exons: 3
Source: RefSeq, a predicted model, not a curated record